GGGGCGGGCCGGGGGCAUGGCCCGGCCGGGCAGGCGGAGAGGGAGAGCGGAAGAGGAGAGAGACAGCGGUUUUCCCAGAAUCUUCUCCACAAUCCUGUUUGCUCUUUCCAAGAACCUUUGCUGGAGAAUGAGGAAGCUUUGAGCAGUUUCUGUCACAAGAUGUGCCACCAGCUGCAGCUUCUCUUGGCUUCCCACACCGUGUGUGCAGCUCGACUCUUGCAGAAAAGUGGGACAAAUAUUUGAAGAACUUUAUAGCUUGUUCUUUCUUUUCCUUGUGGGCUGGGCAGUUGUGCCAUUGGUGAGAUUUUCACUGUUAUUGCUCUAGCCUAAGAAACCAUGACGGGCUCCCAGGAAUUGUCAGGGAAUGCAGAGAAAGAAUCUCCCGAGCCUGCAGCCAGAACUGGAGAGCAGUGUGAUAAUCGUUCCAACAUGCCCAUGGACAUCUUGAAAGUGAUGUAGAAGAUGAAAAUGGGCUGACAGAGGGAGUUUGUUUCUGUGUUCAGUUUAGAAGCUUCCACAUCUCAAGCACUGAUAUAAAUCAAGAGUACAAUCAGUGCAUGAAAAGCACGAGAACAAGCUGGUCCUCUCAGUGGUUGGCUGAAAGAAUCUGAAAAGGAAAAAAGCAGGGAAUGAUUUCGUGAACUUUCCCUGUACAAUGGAACAUUUUUACUAAUAAUUUCCAACCCAUUCCCUCCGCUUUUGUCCUUCCUAACAAGGCCAUUUUCAUCCCAGAUUCCCCAUGAAGUAAGAACCCUGAGCUUGUGGAAGUGCCUGAAAGAUGCCCUGUUCCUCUGCAGGGACACUCAGGCUGGAGCAGGAGCCCUCUCUGGGGAAGCCUCCUCCGAGCUGGAAUUUGUACCUUGCUGGGAGAGGAGGAGGAGGGGGAGAAGGCUGGGCACUGUGUGGCAGGAGCAGGGAUUUGGGCCGCAGGACAUUCCGUCUGUGCCGCUGCCCCACAAUGGGCGGGAACGCUGUGGGGAUAACUGGGGGACACUGGAGCGGAAUAUGGAUGGCACUGGGGGGAACUGGGAGGGCCUGGGAAUGAACUCAUGUGUCUUGGGAGGGACUGGGCUGUACUGGGAUGGAUUGGAGGGGCACUGGGGCUGUACUGGGCUGUACUAGGGAUGAACUGGGCUGUGCUGGGAAGGACUGGAGUGGCACAGGGGUGUUGCUAUCGCGCUGGUGUGGUAGUGUGGAGGAAGGGAUUUAGAAAGGCCUUGGGAAUUGGAAACUGAGGAAAAGAUACAUUUAGGUAUGAGGAAAAGAUACAUUUAUGUAUGCCCCAUUGUUUCGGGAAAGUUUCGCUUCAGCAUCUUUAUGUAAACCCCCUUCUCCCCACCCCUGAGCAGUUCCCAUUGGACCUGACCCCUGGGGUGGUUCUGAUGGGCCCAUGCUGAACACUGUCUCUAUUGUUUAGACCUUAUCUCUUAAUUUUGCUGUAUAAAACUGUAUCUGGGCAGUAGCCCAGGGUCUUUUGUCCCUGCAACUGUUCAGGCAAUACAAUCUCUCUGGACUG
Taeniopygia guttata (zebra finch) is the source of this 1516-nucleotide long non-coding RNA. RefSeq lists it as uncharacterized. The record is from RefSeq and is a predicted model, not a curated record. Lineage: Eukaryota; Metazoa; Chordata; Aves; Passeriformes; Estrildidae.